GACGAACGCUGGCGGCGUGCUUAACACAUGCAAGUCGAACGAAGAGCGAUGGAAGCUUGCUUCUAUCAAUCUUAGUGGCGAACGGGUGAGUAACGCGUAAUCAACCUGCCCUUCAGAGGGGGACAACAGUUGGAAACGACUGCUAAUACCGCAUACGAUCUAAUCUCGGCAUCGAGGAUAGAUGAAAGGUGGCCUCUACAUGUAAGCUAUCACUGAAGGAGGGGAUUGCGUCUGAUUAGCUAGUUGGAGGGGUAACGGCCCACCAAGGCGAUGAUCAGUAGCCGGUCUGAGAGGAUGAACGGCCACAUUGGGACUGAGACACGGCCCAGACUCCUACGGGAGGCAGCAGUGGGGAAUCUUCCGCAAUGGACGAAAGUCUGACGGAGCAACGCCGCGUGAGCGAUGACGGCCUUCGGGUUGUAAAGCUCUGUUAAUCGGGACGAAAGGCCUUCUUGCGAAUAGUGAGAAGGAUUGACGGUACCGGAAUAGAAAGCCACGGCUAACUACGUGC
This 511-nucleotide ribosomal RNA is filed under the name uncultured bacterium. RNAcentral describes it as "partial 16S ribosomal RNA". It matches the Rfam family "Bacterial small subunit ribosomal RNA", at positions 28 to 508 of the family's 1533-position model. The record is from RNAcentral.